This 404-nucleotide ribosomal RNA is filed under the name uncultured bacterium. RNAcentral describes it as "bacterial SSU rRNA". It matches the Rfam family "Bacterial small subunit ribosomal RNA", at positions 917 to 1322 of the family's 1533-position model. The record is from RNAcentral.
GGGCCCGCACAAGCGGUGGAGUAUGUGGUUUAAUUCGAUGCAACGCGAAGAACCUUACCAGGGUUUGACAUCCUGCGAAUCUCUUGGAAACGAGAGAGUGCCUUCGGGAACGCAGUGACAGGUGGUGCAUGGCUGUCGUCAGCUCGUGUCGUGAGAUGUUGGGUUAAGUCCCGCAACGAGCGCAACCCACGUCGUUAGUUGCCAGCAUUUAGUUGGGCACUCUAGCGAGACCGCCGGUGAUAAACCGGAGGAAGGUGUGGAUGACGUCAAGUCAUCAUGCCCCUUACAUCCUGGGCUACACACGUACUACAAUGCUACGGACAAAGGGCAGCAAACUCGCGAGAGCUAGCAAAUCCCAUAAACCGUGGCUCAGUUCGGAUUGGAGUCUGGAACUCGACUCCAUG